UACGAAGGGGGCUAGCGUUGUUCGGAAUCACUGGUCGUAAAGCGCGCGUAGGCGGCCAUGCAAGUCAGGGGUGAAAGCCCGGGGCUCAACCCCGGAAUUGCCUUUGAAACUGCAUGGCUGGAGUCCCGGAGAGGGUGGCGGAAUUCCUAGUGUAGGGGUGAAAUCCGUAGAGACUAGGCGGAACACCGGUGGCGAAGGCGGCCACCUGGACGGGUACUGACGCUGAGGCGCGAAAGCGUGGGGAGCAAACAGG
RNAcentral lists this unclassified non-coding RNA (253 nucleotides) under uncultured Rickettsiales bacterium. RNAcentral describes it as "contains 16S-23S intergenic spacer region". It matches the Rfam family "Bacterial small subunit ribosomal RNA", at positions 524 to 776 of the family's 1533-position model. The record is from RNAcentral. Lineage: Bacteria; Pseudomonadati; Pseudomonadota; Alphaproteobacteria; Rickettsiales.